UUCGGCUUAGAGUUUGAUCCUGGCUCAGGACGAACGCUGGCGGCGUGCUUAACACAUGCAAGUCGAACGAGGUAGCAAUACCUAGUGGCGGACGGGUGAGUAACGCGUAGGUAACCUGCCUCAUAGUGGGGGAUACCCAGCCGAAAGGUUGGCUAAUACCGCAUAAGCUGGUGAUUUGGAAUAGUCAUCAGGAAAGAUUUAUUGCUAUGAGAGGGGCCUGCGUCCGAUUAGCUAGUUGGUGAGGUAAAGGCUCACCAAGGCGACGAUCGGUAGCUGGUCUGAGAGGACGAUCAGCCACACUGGAACUGAGACACGGUCCAGACUCCUACGGGAGGCAGCAGUGGGGAAUUUUCCGCAAUGGGCGAAAGCCUGACGGAGCAACGCCGCGUGGAUGAUGAGUCUUUCGGGACGUAAAAUCCUUUCAGCAGGGACUAAGCGAGUG
This 442-nucleotide ribosomal RNA is filed under the name uncultured bacterium. RNAcentral describes it as "SSU rRNA". It matches the Rfam family "Bacterial small subunit ribosomal RNA", at positions 1 to 456 of the family's 1533-position model. The record is from RNAcentral.